UAUAAAGCUUAGAAAAUAAUAACAAUAUUUAUCACCUGAACUAUUGUGAUUUUAACAUACUUUGAAUUAUUUUCUAAUUAGACUCCUUAAUAAAUUGUCUGGAAAAUACAGAUCCACUAAAGGGAUUGUGUCAUGGGUUCUCUGAGUUACUCAAAUCUGCUCCACAAUUUCAUAUAAACUCAACCUUCAGCGCGUACUCAGGGACCAUGCAGAUGAUGUGUGACUCCCGCCCGGCUCUCCGUCACUGAUGAGGACACUUGACAUUUCAUCAAGGAGGCAUUUGAGAACCAGAAAACACAGAACACCUCCAGAUAAUGUUUUUGCCAUCUCCCCUUACACCAACAUGGGAAAAGAAAGGCUGAAUUCGCC
RNAcentral lists this long non-coding RNA (369 nucleotides) under Vulpes vulpes (red fox). Its description in RNAcentral is "lncRNA (ENSVVUG00000009967.1)". The record is from RNAcentral. Lineage: Eukaryota; Metazoa; Chordata; Mammalia; Carnivora; Canidae.